RNAcentral lists this ribosomal RNA (484 nucleotides) under uncultured bacterium. RNAcentral's name for it is "partial 16S ribosomal RNA". It matches the Rfam family "Bacterial small subunit ribosomal RNA", at positions 30 to 507 of the family's 1533-position model. The record is from RNAcentral.
AUUGAACGCUGGCGGAAUGCUUUACACAUGCAAGUCGAACGGCAGCACGGGGGCAGCCCUGGUGGCGAGUGGCGAACGGGUGAGUAAUACAUCGGAACGUGCCCGGUCGUGGGGGAUAACGUAGCGAAAGUUACGCUAAUACCGCAUACGAUCUGAGGAUGAAAGCGGGGGACCUUCGGGCCUCGCGCGAUCGGAGCGGCCGAUGUCAGAUUAUGUAGUUGGUGGGGUAAAGGCCUACCAAGCCGACGAUCUGUAGCUGGUCUGAGAGGACGACCAGCCACACUGGGACUGAGACACGGCCCAGACUCCUACGGGAGGCAGCAGUGGGGAAUUUUGGACAAUGGGCGCAAGCCUGAUCCAGCCAUUCCGCGUGCAGGACGAAGGCCUUCGGGUUGUAAACUGCUUUUGUACGGAACGAAAAGGCUCUGGCUAAUACCUGGGGCUCAUGACGGUACCGUAAGAAUAAGCACCGGCUAACUACGUG